Clupea harengus (Atlantic herring) is the source of this 1243-nucleotide long non-coding RNA. NCBI's taxonomy places the organism in Eukaryota, Metazoa, Chordata, Actinopteri, Clupeiformes, Clupeidae. The record is from Ensembl.
ACACACACACACACACACACACACACACACACACACACACACACACACACACACACACACGCACACGCUCUUCCGAUUCAGAGCGAGCGAGUGAUCAUACGAGCGAGAAACUGCCAAACCUCACAUCCCACAUGUAGCAACACUUGAUGUUGCCCUGGCAACGGUUCAGUAUCAAGGCAAACAACACAAAACCAAGCACACAGACAUGAACAACAUGUACAUAGGCACUCACCUAGCUCUCCAUGUCUGUUAACUCGACUGCAUGUUCUCUGACAUAUGUCAACACUCUCUCUCUCUCUCCCUCUCUCUCUCUCUCUCUCGCCCCCACCCUCUCUCUCUCUCUCUCUCGUUAUAUGUGACACAAUGUGAGUUUGGUUUUGUAAUCUGGGCAUGUCAGAAGGAAAGAGUAUCCUGUUCUCUUUACUUUUUGUUGAUUUACAUUAUCAUGUGGUUGUGUGUGUGUGUGUGUGUGUGUGUGUGUGUGUGAGAGAGAGAAAGAAGGUGUGUGUGUUGUUCUUUUAUUGGUCACACUUUAUUGGGAUUGUCCUCUAUAAAGGAUCUCCAGAUGCUCAGAUUAUAAGCAAACUAUAUGUCGAAACUCUGUGAACCUCGAUUGAUGGUUAAGGUUGGGGUUAGGGGUUGGGUUUGGUUAAGGUGAUGUUCAGUGAACAAAUACAAAAACCGUCUGUAAAGUCUCUGUAGGCCGACUAUCCAAAUAAAAUGUUACCAUUGAAGGUGAUGUUCAGUGAACAAAUACAAAAACCGUCUGUAAAGUCUCUGUAGGCCGACUAUCCAAACAGAUGUUUUACCAUUUUAUAGGGGCCUUUUCACAGAACCUUAGUUCUUAGUAGAAGCGCUAAACUGCUGCACCUGCAAGUUUUAUGGCACAGAACCCAACAGUAUGUGCCAUGCAGUGCACGUCCUUCCCUUAUCUGACGUCUUAUCUGAGAAUAGGCAUCAAAUCCAUUCAUUCAUUCAUUCAUUCUUGCAUUGUUUACAGAUAUGCAGAGUAUGCCUCAAUGUAUCAAAGCCCUAGUUAAUAUCAGUGAUAGUAGCAGUAGUAGUAACAGCAGUAAAAACAUUAAUAUAAUAAUAAUAAAGGCAUUAUUAAUGUUUGAAAAAGGCUAUAUUUACACUAUAUAAAAGCAUACCCAUUGAAGUUGUAGUAAGUGUUUCUGUUGUCAAAAUAAAAUUACACCUGAAUUUGCACUGAGUCUGAAUGCAAUAAAAGUUAAAUAAAAGU